RNAcentral lists this ribosomal RNA (613 nucleotides) under uncultured bacterium. RNAcentral's name for it is "bacterial SSU rRNA". It matches the Rfam family "Bacterial small subunit ribosomal RNA", at positions 338 to 943 of the family's 1533-position model. The record is from RNAcentral.
CCUACGGGAGGCAGCAGUAGGGAAUCUUCCGCAAUGGACGAAAGUCUGACGGAGCAACGCCGCGUGAACGAUGAAGGCCCUCGGGUCGUAAAGUUCUGUUGUUAGGGAAGAACAAGUGCUAGUUAAAUAAGCUGGCACCUUGACGGUACCUAACCAGAAAGCCACGGCUAACUACGUGCCAGCAGCCGCGGUAAUACGUAGGUGGCAAGCGUUGUCCGGAAUUAUUGGGCGUAAAGCGCGCGCAGGCGGUUUCUUAAGUCUGAUGUGAAAGCCCCCGGCUCAACCGGGGAGGGUCAUUGGAAACUGGGAAACUUGAGUGCAGAAGAGGAAAGUGGAAUUCCAAGUGUAGCGGUGAAAUGCGUAGAGAUUUGGAGGAACACCAGUGGCGAAGGCGACUUUCUGGUCUGUAACUGACGCUGAGGCGCGAAAGCGUGGGGAGCAAACAGGAUUAGAUACCCUGGUAGUCCACGCUGUAAACGAUGAGUGCUAAGUGUUAGAGGGUUUCCGCCCUUUAGUGCUGAAGUUAACGCAUUAAGCACUCCGCCUGGGGAUCGGUCGCAAGACUGAAACUUAAAGGAAUUGACGGNUGAGAGUGCGAGCGCACGAGGAGAGG